Molecule: ribosomal RNA, 497 nt
Filed under: uncultured bacterium
Lineage: Bacteria
Description: partial 16S ribosomal RNA
Rfam family: Bacterial small subunit ribosomal RNA
Source: RNAcentral
GAUGAACGCUGGCGGCGUGCCUAAUACAUGCAAGUCGAGCGAACAGACGAGGAGCUUGCUCCUCUGACGUUAGCGGCGGACGGGUGAGUAACACGUGGAUAACCUACCUAUAAGACUGGGAUAACUUCGGGAAACCGGAGCUAAUACCGGAUAAUAUAUUGAACCGCAUGGUUCAAUAGUGAAAGACGGUUUUGCUGUCACUUAUAGAUGGAUCCGCGCCGCAUUAGCUAGUUGGUAAGGUAACGGCUUACCAAGGCAACGAUGCGUAGCCGACCUGAGAGGGUGAUCGGCCACACUGGAACUGAGGCACGGUCCAGACUCCUACGGGAGGCAGCAGUAGGGAAUCUUCCGCAAUGGGCGAAAGCCUGACGGAGCAACGCCGCGUGAGUGAUGAAGGUCUUCGGAUCGUAAAACUCUGUUAUUAGGGAAGAACAACUGUGUAAGUAACUAUGCACGUCUUGACGGUACCUAAUCAGAAAGCCACGGCUAACUACGUG